UCCCCUUUUCUCUCUAAAAAGAAAGAACCAUCCCCUACUCUCGUACGAUCCCCACCAGGUUCCUGAGUCCUCAUCCUCGUUUGCCAUUUCUUCCGAUUUGCCGCCGGCAAAGGAAGAUGUCACCAUUGGCCAUCAGGAAAUUAAUACCCAGGUUAUCCCAGAUCUACACGCCGUUUCUUUUCUCUGAGUUUUGCUUCCAUAGGGUGGUGGCGCAUGUGGCUGGGUGAGUGCAGGGAUCUCGGCAACCUCGUCGAGUCUGGAGAAAUGGCCACAGAGAUUGCCAAGGAGAAUUUGGGUUGUGCUGCUUAUACUUGCCAUCGCCGGGUGCUUUGGAUGUUGGUGGCGCGGAGGUAGCUAGGGAGCUCACGGAGCAGGGAUGUGAAGCAGCUUCUGCGGGCAGCUUCUUACUUGUUGUCCUGUUCAUUGUUGGUGUUGUCUGGAGUCCUACCAAAUGUAAGUGUUACUGCAAUCAUAUAAGUUUUGGUGAAGGGGAAUGAUCUAGAAAUCAAAAUAAGUUGAUCUCAACCUAGCAAGCGAUUCUUCCAUCUAAUUAGUGAUGCACAGUAAAAAAGGAGGUUUACAUGCACUUUUACUCAGCCAAAUAGCAAAAGCAUCAGCUUGAUGUGAGACAUGCAUGUGCCUAGUUGCAGUUUAAGUUCUAAAGUUCAGUAAUUUUCGUGGGGCUAGUCUUCUUUCUGGAUUCUUGCAUCUUAAUUACCACACAGAGGCAAUGGUAUAUGGUGAACACAUGGAUGCAAGGCAUCUGAAGUAUACACACCCAUUGUUUUGAAUCUUGCUUCUUGAAUCUUGUUGUCUAAUGGUAGAGUUUUGAGGCCUGAAUUAAGGUUCCUGCCACUUUUAUAAAUGUUGCAGGGCAGUACAUUUAUGGUUUCUGUACACCUUUUUUCUUUCUGGAUUCGGCAACCUUUUGUGCCCAUAGGAACCAAUAUUGCUGUAUAAUUGUAUAUUAUGUCUUCCCGUUCAUCCAUGGCUCUCCACUAUAAAGUGUUCUAUUCUUUUAUUUGUUGUUACCAUGUCCUAGCAAGAAGGCCUUAAUUUGGUUCAUAUAUGUUAAUUGACAUGCAAUGGUUUGAUUUUUAUAUGUGUUGGUGGUGCAGAUGAUAUUGAAGAUCUAUUAAUGGUUUUAUUAAACUAAAAAGGUUGUAUGAGG
This 1171-nucleotide long non-coding RNA is filed under the name Triticum aestivum (bread wheat). RNAcentral describes it as "long non-coding RNA (TAES_LNC024279)". The record is from RNAcentral. Lineage: Eukaryota; Viridiplantae; Streptophyta; Magnoliopsida; Poales; Poaceae.